This 598-nucleotide ribosomal RNA is filed under the name Fusarium solani. RNAcentral describes it as "eukaryotic LSU rRNA". The stretch from base 222 to 375 matches the Rfam family "5.8S ribosomal RNA". The record is from RNAcentral. Lineage: Eukaryota; Fungi; Ascomycota; Sordariomycetes; Hypocreales; Nectriaceae.
UCUUGGUCAUUUAGAGGAAGUAAAAGUCGUAACAAGGUCUCCGUUGGUGAACCAGCGGAGGGAUCAUUACCGAGUUAUACAACUCAUCAACCCUGUGAACAUACCUAAAACGUUGCUUCGGCGGGAACAGACGGCCCCGUAACACGGGCCGCCCCCGCCAGAGGACCCCCUAACUCUGUUUCUAUUAUGUUUCUUCUGAGUAAAACAAGCAAAUAAAUUAAAACUUUCAACAACGGAUCUCUUGGCUCUGGCAUCGAUGAAGAACGCAGCGAAAUGCGAUAAGUAAUGUGAAUUGCAGAAUUCAGUGAAUCAUCGAAUCUUUGAACGCACAUUGCGCCCGCCAGUAUUCUGGCGGGCAUGCCUGUUCGAGCGUCAUUACAACCCUCAGGCCCCCGGGCCUGGCGUUGGGGAUCGGCGAGGCGCCCCCUGCGGGCACACGCCGUCCCCCAAAUACAGUGGCGGUCCCGCCGCAGCUUCCAUUGCGUAGUAGCUAACACCUCGCAACUGGAGAGCGGCGCGGCCACGCCGUAAAACACCCAACUUCUGAAUGUUGACCUCGAAUCAGGUAGGAAUACCCGCUGAACUUAAGCAUAUCAAU